GCGCAAAGCCGCUCCCGGCCGCUCUCCACCCGCCUGCCCGCGGAGAACGUUUUACGUUUUUCAUGUAGAAAUGAAACGAGGUUCUGCGUGUAGAAGCUGUGCUACCAGUUCCUGAACUUGAGAAGACUUUUCCAUAAGCAAUGAAGCAAUGACAAGCACUACCUGCUGACACUAUCUCCUCAGCAAUGACAGGUGACAAUUAUAGCAUCAAAGCUUUUCCUCCGAAACUGCUGACAAAUACAUUUUUGGUGACAGAAAAUGAAAGCUGAUUUUUCUUUGUCAUGAAAAUGAAAUCUCUACUUAUGUACUUGAAGCUUUAACUGAACAGCAAAAUGGUAAGAUGGCUAGCAUUUUCACUGAAAUAAGCAAGUUGCUACAGAAUACCAACAUUUCAAACCAGGAACUACAUCAGCUACAGGAAAAGUAUUUUUUACUAUAAAUAGGCAGGAGGAGUGCAAAGGUCACCCACUUGGACCCUUAAAAGACAGUAAGUAGACUUCUGACAAUGUUUCAAAGUGUUGGGCACUAGAAUUCAUUACUUAAUUGCAUGAAAAAGAAUGAAGGCAUAUCAAAUUUCUGGUCCAGAGAACAAGCUUACAUUUUUUUGAAUAGUAAAGACCAACAUGACCAACCAUCCAGAUCAAUAUGAUUACCAAAAGACUGCAACACACACAAAAAAAAUACUUUCAAAUGUGUAUUUUCAAAACACAUAAAAUACACAUAAAAUAUUAGGAUGGUGUUUUGGAAACGAGUAACCAUGGAAAAGACACAUGAAAUCUGAGCAGCACUAACCAAGAUGGACAGUAGCAGUACGACACUAAGAUGUCAGCGACUUGAGACAAAGCGGAAGUUAUUUGCAAAACUUGCUUCUGAAUUUAGAACUACAAAGACAGCGCUACUAUGACCUGUGUCCAAGAGGAACAGCUGAGGAACUCAGUAUUUUUAUUCUG
Vidua chalybeata is the source of this 950-nucleotide long non-coding RNA. RefSeq lists it as uncharacterized. The transcript is spliced from 4 exons. The record is from RefSeq and is a predicted model, not a curated record. Lineage: Eukaryota; Metazoa; Chordata; Aves; Passeriformes; Viduidae.